UUUCCGUAGGUGAACCUGCGGAAGGAUCAUUCAUAGUAAAGUGUUUUAUGGCACUUUUUAAAAAUCCAUAUCCACCUUGUGUGCAAUGUUAGAUCUCGUCAAUCUUGGCGAGAUUUUUAUACAUCAACUCAUUUUUUAUCUAAUUUGUCUGAAAAAUAUUAUGAAUACUUAAUUCAAAAUACAACUUUCAACAACGGAUCUCUUGGCUCUC
RNAcentral lists this unclassified non-coding RNA (211 nucleotides) under plant metagenome. RNAcentral's name for it is "partial contains small subunit ribosomal RNA, internal transcribed spacer 1, and 5.8S ribosomal RNA". The record is from RNAcentral.